This 494-nucleotide ribosomal RNA is filed under the name uncultured bacterium. Its description in RNAcentral is "partial 16S ribosomal RNA". It matches the Rfam family "Bacterial small subunit ribosomal RNA", at positions 28 to 507 of the family's 1533-position model. The record is from RNAcentral.
GACGAACGCUGGCGGCGUGCCUAAUACAUGCAAGUCGAACGGUUUGGUUCCAAGAGGCUUGCCUUUUGGAACUAGACAGUGGCGGACGGGUGAGUAACACGUAGGCAACCUACCUGUCAAACCGGGAUAACCUCGGGAAACCGAAGCUAAACCCGGAUAAGCUCCUUUUUCGCAUGAAGGGGGAGUGAAAAGGUGCGACCUGAUGACAGAUGGGCCUGCGGCGCAUUAGCUAGUAGGUAGGGUAACGGCCUACCUAGGCGAUGAUGCGUAGCCGACCUGAGAGGGCGUACGGCCACACUGGGACUGAGAUACGGCCCAGACUCCUACGGGAGGCAGCAGUAGGGAAUCUUCGGCAAUGGGCGAAAGCCUGACCGAGCAACGCCGCGUGAGUGAGGAAGGCCUUCGGGUUGUAAAACUCUGUUGUUUGGGAAGAAGGGAAAGGGUAGGACCCUUAGGUGACGGUACCAAACGAGAAAGCCCCGGCUAACUACGUG